RNAcentral lists this non-coding RNA (24 nucleotides) under Arabidopsis thaliana (thale cress). Lineage: Eukaryota; Viridiplantae; Streptophyta; Magnoliopsida; Brassicales; Brassicaceae. The record is from RNAcentral.
GGAAGAGGACCAUAAUAGAAUUGA